UUCAAUAUAAUCAUAAAGGUUUAAAGCAAGUUAGGCGGAUUGUGGAAGACUGCAUACAAAAUAAAAUGCAUCCUGUAUACCAUAUCAAGGUUCUUAUGAUGAAGAAAGAGCUUGAAAAGGAUCCAGCGCUUGCAAACGAAAACUGGGAUAGAUUUCUUCCAAAAUUCAAAAAGAAAAAUGUUCAGCAAAAGAAGGUCAAGACUAAAGAGAAGAAACCAUAUACACCUUUCCCUCCUCCACAACAACC
Long non-coding RNA from Quercus lobata, 247 nucleotides. RefSeq lists it as uncharacterized. NCBI's taxonomy places the organism in Eukaryota, Viridiplantae, Streptophyta, Magnoliopsida, Fagales, Fagaceae. The record is from RefSeq and is a predicted model, not a curated record. The transcript has 3 exons.